Molecule: ribosomal RNA, 494 nt
Filed under: uncultured bacterium
Lineage: Bacteria
Description: partial 16S ribosomal RNA
Rfam family: Bacterial small subunit ribosomal RNA
Source: RNAcentral
GACGAACGCUGGCGGCGUGCUUAACACAUGCAAGUCGAACGGAAAGGCCUGCUUUCCCUUGUGGAUUGCGGGUACUCGAGUGGCGAACGGGUGUGUAACACGUGAGUGAUCUGCCCCCAACUUGGGAAUAAGCCUGGGAAACUGGGACCAAUUCCCGAUAGCCCUGCAGGGUGGUGCCUGUGGUUGAAAACGAUUUUCUAGUGGUUGGGGAUGAGCUCGCGGCCUAUCAGCUUGUCGGUGGGGUAAUGGCCUACCAAGGCGGCGACGGGUAGCCGGCCUGAGAGGGUGGACGGCCACAUUGGGGCUGGGAUACGGCCAAGACUACUACGGGAGGCAGCAGUGGGGAAUAGUGCACAAUGGGGGGAAGCCUGAGGCAGCGACGCCGCGUGGGGUAUGACGGCCUUCGGGUUGUAAACUCCUUUCGACCGCGGGAAAGCCACCUGGUUGGAAGGGUGGUGGCGGUAGUGGGAGGAGAAGCACCGGGUAACUACGUG